UCUGCUUUCAUACAUAUAUGUAUGUGAAUAUAUAAUUUAAUACAUCAAUCACUGUCAUUAUUUACACAACUACUUUACAACAACAAAAAAACUAGCAUCCUUUAUCCAAUAAUAUAAAUGUAGAUGUCUUGUUGGUUUAUCCAUUUGCCAAUGCUUUUUUGAGUUCCAGCCCCAUCAGUUCCCAAUGUCUGAAAAUUGUCAGGUCUAACAAGCUAUUUCGAGCAAUUCUAGGUCCAAUUUCUGUUAAGUCCAUGAAGGAGAUGAGCUUCAUGCGAAUUCCAA
Molecule: long non-coding RNA, 282 nt
Filed under: Solanum tuberosum (potato)
Lineage: Eukaryota; Viridiplantae; Streptophyta; Magnoliopsida; Solanales; Solanaceae
Description: long non-coding RNA (STUB_LNC004828)
Source: RNAcentral